Molecule: ribosomal RNA, 273 nt
Filed under: Triticum aestivum (bread wheat)
Lineage: Eukaryota; Viridiplantae; Streptophyta; Magnoliopsida; Poales; Poaceae
Description: partial small subunit ribosomal RNA
Source: RNAcentral
AUGGUGGAGUGGCGCCGGCGCCACCCGGAGGACGUCGCCUACGAGCAGGUCUACUGGGCAAGGUGCCGCGAGGAGGACACGCGAAGGCGCCGCGAGGAGCGGCUGGACAGGCGUCGGCGGAAGGCGUUGGCGAAUGCGCAGUCCGAUCUCGUUGCAGCAGGUGGGCAGUCGUUCUUCACGCCGGACGAUGAUCGGUGGCUGGACAUCUGGCUAGAUACCUCGGACAACACCGCCGAGGAUGAUAAUGGUGAUGAUGAUAGCGACUUAGAGUAG